GCUAUUGAUGACUUGAUCCAGCUUGUAUGAGUUGCAGUGGAGCCAAGUUCCUGUUUUACAGGAAGAACCUACUUGGUGAAGCUACAGUUCACUGAUAUUAAUGGAUUGAACUGAAGC
RNAcentral lists this small nucleolar RNA (117 nucleotides) under Cephalotus follicularis. RNAcentral describes it as "Small nucleolar RNA Z278". It matches the Rfam family "Small nucleolar RNA Z278". Rfam says of the family: snoZ278 is a C/D box small nucleolar RNA. Its methylation guide targets have not been reported. Lineage: Eukaryota; Viridiplantae; Streptophyta; Magnoliopsida; Oxalidales; Cephalotaceae. The record is from Rfam by way of RNAcentral.